AUACCGGCAGCUCAAGUGGUAGCCGCUUUUAUUGGGCCUAAAGCGUCCGUAGCCGGUCUGAUAAGUCUCUGGUGAAAUCCCGCAGCUUAACUGUGGGAAUUGCUGGAGAUACUAUCAUGACUCGAGGUCGGGAGAGGCUGGAGGUACUCCCAGGGUAGGGGUGAAAUCCUGUAAUCCUGGGAGGACCACCUGUGGCGAAGGCGUCCAGCUGGAACGAACCGGACGGUGAGGGACGAAAGCCAGGGGCGCGAACCGGAUUAGAUGCCCGGGUAGUCCUGGCCGUAAACGAUGUGGACUUGGUGUUGGGAUGGCUUCGAGCUGCCCCAGUGCCGAAGGGAAGCUGUUAAGUCCACCGCCUGGGAAGUACGGCCGCAAGGCUGAAACUCAAAUGAAUUGGCGGGG
Molecule: ribosomal RNA, 402 nt
Filed under: uncultured bacterium
Lineage: Bacteria
Description: partial 16S ribosomal RNA
Rfam family: Archaeal small subunit ribosomal RNA
Source: RNAcentral